CACGUAGUUGGCCGGUGCUUCUUCUGCAGGUACCGUCACUUUCGCUUCGUCCCUGCUGAAAGAGGUUUACAACCCGAAGGCCGUCAUCCCUCACGCGGCGUCGCUGCGUCAGGCUUCCGCCCAUUGCGCAAUAUUCCCCACUGCUGCCUCCCGUAGGAGUCUGGGCCGUGUCUCAGUCCCAGUGUGGCCGGUCACCCUCUCAGGCCGGCUACCCGUCGUCGCCUUGGUAGGCCAUCACCCCACCAACAAGCUGAUAGGCCGCGGGCCCAUCCCCAGCCGAAAAAACUUUCCACACAACCCCAUGCGAGGCUGAAUGAAUAUCCGGUAUUAGCACCAAUUUCUUGGAGUUAUCCCAGAGCUGAGGGCAGGUUGCCCACGUGUUACUCACCCGUUCGCCACUAAUCCACCAGCAAGCUGGCUUCAUCGUUCGACUUGCAUGUGUUAAGCACGCCGCCAGCGUUCGUCCUGAGCCAGGAUCAAACUCUA
This 486-nucleotide ribosomal RNA is filed under the name uncultured Actinomycetales bacterium. RNAcentral's name for it is "partial 16S ribosomal RNA". Lineage: Bacteria; Bacillati; Actinomycetota; Actinomycetes; Actinomycetales. The record is from RNAcentral.